CCUGGCUGGAGCGGGGGACGAUCUGGAAGCUCUCGGUUGGUGCUCGGUGACGAUGUGCAGCGGGUGCGGUGCUCCACCUCCCGGCAGCCGCUCUGAUGUGCAAGGGAAGAGCUCCAGCUGCGGUUUGGCCUGAUACCUUCGCCCUCUUCUUAUCUACAUGAGCCAACCCUGAACUGCUUCCCUCUUUGCUGCACGUUUGUGUUCUGGCAGAUCAGGAUGGUUUUGUGGCACUUGCACACACUUGUGCCAGCACCAGACACCAGGGCAGAGCUGCAGGCAGGGGCAGCAGGAGAAGGAACUGCCUGUUUCCAUUGCAAGUGCUGGGUGAAAGUUCUACUCCAAGUUGCAUUCAUAGAAUCAUAGAGUGGGUUAGACUGAAAGGUGGAAUCAGAGUACAAAGAGGAAGAAAGCUCCAUUUGACACUGCCUAGCUAAUCUCAGCAGUACAUCGCUCAUUACUCUGCGCGGGAUUAAAG
Molecule: long non-coding RNA, 475 nt
Organism: Gallus gallus (chicken)
Lineage: Eukaryota; Metazoa; Chordata; Aves; Galliformes; Phasianidae
Source: Ensembl